Molecule: long non-coding RNA, 1546 nt
Filed under: Homo sapiens (human)
Lineage: Eukaryota; Metazoa; Chordata; Mammalia; Primates; Hominidae
Description: HSALNT0261784
Source: RNAcentral
CUCAUCUUGAAAUUCUUAGUUUUAUGACAUUUGCAAAACCCCUCUUUCCAAAUAAGGUUGCAGUCAGAGCUUCUGGGGGUUAGGACAUCCUCUUAAGUAAUCCCCUCAUGGGAAACCACGGCAGCGUUAUUUCCUCUUCAUCUUACAGCAUUCACUGGGAAUGACGGCAUUGUGGUUUUGAGCCUCUGGACUGUGGGUGCCUGCAGCCCAGGUCACAGAAAGGGGCCGCCGGACUUCUGCAGCUCUGUGUCCUCUAUCUGGAGCCCACAGGCGUGCCCCUUUGAUGACACACUCUCUGUGCUGCACAGUCUGGCUGUUCACCAAACUGUUUGGAGCUUUCUGCUAUGUCCCGGAAGCCCGAGAGAGAGGACCCUGCCCCCACCACCAUGUGAGGACACAGCAAGAAGACCCCAUUUAUGAAUCAGAAAAUCCACUCUCACCGGACACCAAAUCUGUCAGUACCCAGGUCCUGGACUUGCCAGCCUCAGAACUGAACACAGAAGACCAGCAUUAUAGUUAAAAUAGACGUCGUAAGAUUGACAAAACAGACUCUUUGUGAUGAUAAGAUACCAAAUUACAUACAAGACCUAAGACUCCAGGUUUUGCAGACUCCAGGUUUUAAGCAGACCUUACUCCUUUAACCAACUGCAAAUUAAAGAAGCCCUGAAUCCAUCUGUAACCUGUCAGCCCGCCCCUCUUCAAGAUAUUCUGCCUUUUCAGGCCAAACCAAUGUAUGUCUUCCAUGUACUGAUUUAUGACUUUGCCUGUAACUCCUUCCUCCCUAAAAUGCAUCAAAUCAAUUUUUACUUUAAGUUCUGGGAUACAUGGGCAGAAUGUGCAGGUUUGUUACAUAGGUAUAUGUGUGCCAUGGUGGUUUGCUGCACCAUCGUCUAGGUUUUAAGCCCUGCAUGCAUUAGGUAUUUGUCCUAAUACUCUCCCUCCCUUAUCUCCCACACCCCCUCCCUUGACAGGCUCCGGUGUGUGAUGUUCCCCUCCCUGUGUCCAUGUGUUCUCAUUGUUCAACUCAUGAUCGCAUGAGUGAGAACAUGCGGUGUUUCGUUUUCUGUUCCUGUGUUACUUUGCUGAAAAUGAUAGCUUCCAGCUUCAUCCAUGUCCCUGCAAAAGACAUGAACUCAUUCUUUUUUAUGGCUGCAACAUCAAACCAAACUUAAUCUGGCCAACCUUGGGCACACCACGGUCACUGAAAUUGUCCCAGAAUAAACUUCUUUAAAAUAUUUUACAGAGUCCAGGUGUGGUGGCUCACGCCAAAAAUCCCAGCACUUUGGGAAGCUGAGGCAGGAGGAUCACUUGAGCCCAGAAGUUUGAGACCAGCCUGGGUAACCUAGGGAGACCCCAUCUCUACAAAAAAUUAAAAAAGUAGCUAGGUGUGGUGGCACACGCCUAUAGCCCCAACUACUCAAGAAACUGAGGUGGGAGGAUCACCUGAGCCCAGAAGGUUGAGGCUGCAGUGAGCCAUGAUUGUGCCACUGCACUCCAGAGUGAGAUCUUGACUCCAAAAAUUAAUAAAUAAAUAAAAAUAAAUACA